AUAGUACUCCCUCUGUUCGGAAAUACUUGUCGUAGAAAUGGAUACAAAUGGAUGUAUCUAGAACUAAAAUACAUCUAGAUACAUCCAUUCCUCGGACAAGUAUUUCCAGACGGAGGGAGUAGUAG
Non-coding RNA from Triticum aestivum (bread wheat), 125 nucleotides. Lineage: Eukaryota; Viridiplantae; Streptophyta; Magnoliopsida; Poales; Poaceae. The record is from Rfam.